Molecule: non-coding RNA, 72 nt
Organism: Phlyctochytrium arcticum
Lineage: Eukaryota; Fungi; Chytridiomycota; Chytridiomycetes; Chytridiales; Chytridiaceae
Source: the annotation of a GenBank genome assembly
GAGGCCUUGGCGCAACGGCAGCGCGUCCGACUCCAGAUCGGAAGGUUACGUGUUCGAAUCCCGUAGGCCUCA